UUCGCUCAUUUGUUAUUCACAAUUUAUUAGGGAUGGCGGCCACGUCUGUCCCUCCAGAGAGCUUGAUUAUCCAUCCGGCCAGUAGCGCCAUUAAGCGCACUGACGGUGGGAGGCUCGAGUUAGAAAUUGGGAAAGGAAUCUUCGCCCAGUUUUGGAGCGCCUGCCUCUUCUUCCCUCGCUGCUCGCAGCCAAGGCAGCCCCGAAACUGGGGGCUCCGGCUGAAUGCUUUCGUCCUCUGGCCGCCGAGUGACCCCAGCUUGAGCCUGCAGCCACAACAGCGGGACCGGGGCGGGGAGGAAGAGGAAGGGCGGAGAGACUUCCUUCCAGAGGGAGUGGUCCGAGAACCGGCGGGAGAAGGGCCAAGGGAAGAUCCGGUCACCUGCUCCCAAGCCUGCAGGCGAAGAGGCGAGUUCACCGGCCCCGGAGGAAAGGGGACCCGCCCACUGUUCCCAGGGCAAAUGUGUCGCCGGCAUCCUGGACUCUGCCAGGGAAAACGCGCAUCCACUCGCUCUGCCGGGAGGGGAGCGUGGCAGGGACUCCCAGGCAGCCGCCCCUCUCUGGCUACAAGACCCCGAACAAGAGAAACCCGUAA
Molecule: RNA transcript, 592 nt
Organism: Rhinopithecus roxellana (golden snub-nosed monkey)
Lineage: Eukaryota; Metazoa; Chordata; Mammalia; Primates; Cercopithecidae
Exons: 1
Source: RefSeq, a predicted model, not a curated record